This 395-nucleotide ribosomal RNA is filed under the name uncultured bacterium. RNAcentral describes it as "bacterial SSU rRNA". It matches the Rfam family "Bacterial small subunit ribosomal RNA", at positions 28 to 428 of the family's 1533-position model. The record is from RNAcentral.
GACGAACGCUGGCGGCGUGCUUAACACAUGCAAGUCGAGCGGUAAGGCCCUUUCGGGGGUACACGAGCGGCGAACGGGUGAGUAACACGUGGGUGACCUGCCUCUAGCUCUGGGAUAAGCCUGGGAAGCUGGGUCUAAUACCGGAUAUGACCUCGCGGUGCAUGUUGCGGGGUGGAAAGCCUUGUGCGGCUAGGGAUGGGCCCGCGGCCUAUCAGCUUGUUGGUGGGGUGANGGCCUACCAAGGCGACGACGGGUAGCCGGCCUGAGAGGGCGACCGGCCACACUGGGACUGAGACACGGCCCAGACUCCUACGGGAGGCAGCAGUGGGGAAUCUUGCGCAAUGGGCGAAAGCCUGACGCAGCGACGCCGCGUGAGGGAUGACGGCCUGGUGUAA